GAGCCCCUUUGUGUUCAUGGGGAACCCCAGAGCGACUGCUUCAUUCGUCGAAAUCCUAAGAAUCAUGGAAAUAACAAUCGUUUCGACAAUCUUACCGAAGUAGGCGGUAGCGAUGACUAACAUUAGAAGGCCCCAAGAUACCGGUCCGCUCAUCGUGUCUAUGUUUGUUUUCAGACCACUGGAGACGAAGUAGAGAGGUAGGAAAAUACUGGAGAUGAGAUCUUCGAUCUUUUCUAUGAGAACUCCGGCGAAAGGACCUUCUUUAGGAAUGAUGAUCCCGAUUAUAAAAGCCCCGAACAGAGCAUGGAUUCCGAUCAUGUCGGUGCGCCAACAAGAACUGUGAGUAGAGUUAUACAUAUAUGGAUUUCUUUCACUUGCUCUCCAUCAGGUGAUUUGAAGGUCAACCAAAUGAUAAAUAUGGACGGAUGACCACCGUAGCAAAGACGACGAAGCCGAUUCCACGGAGAAAAACCCACAAACUUAUAAGGGGUGAUCCAGAACCCGAGAGUGAAACCGCAAGAGCGAGUAAAAUCCAAGCGACGACAUCAUUGAUGGCAGCCGCUGGCAUAGCCAUCCGACCGAUGUCAGUUGUGAGAAGCUUGAGUCCGGCAAGUAUACGGGCGAGGACGGGGAAAGCGGUUAU
This 643-nucleotide long non-coding RNA is filed under the name Zostera marina. RNAcentral's name for it is "long non-coding RNA (ZMAR_LNC001124)". The record is from RNAcentral. Lineage: Eukaryota; Viridiplantae; Streptophyta; Magnoliopsida; Alismatales; Zosteraceae.